UGGGGAAUAUUGGACAAUGGGCGCAAGCCUGAUCCAGCAAUGCCGCGUGAGUGAUGAAGGCCUUAGGGUUGUAAAGCUCUUCCGCACGCGACGAUGAUGACGGUAGCGUGAGAAGAAGCCCCGGCUAACUUCGUGCCAGCAGCCGCGGUAAUACGAAGGGGGCUAGCGUUGUUCGGAAUUACUGGGCGUAAAGGGCGCGUAGGCGGCCUGUUUAGUCAGAAGUGAAAGCCCCGGGCUCAACCUGGGAAUAGCUUUUGAUACUGGCAGGCUUGAGUUCCGAGAGGAUGGUGGAAUUCCCAGUGUAGAGGUGAAAUUCGUAGAUAUUGGAAGAACACCGGUGGCGAAGGCGGCCAUCUGGACGGACACUGACGCUGAGGCGCGAAAGCGUGGGGAGCAACAGGAUUAGAUACCCUGGUAGUCCACGCCGUAAACGAUGAAUGCUAGACGUCGGGGUGCAUGCACUUCGGUGUCGCCGCUAACGCA
Molecule: ribosomal RNA, 483 nt
Filed under: uncultured bacterium
Lineage: Bacteria
Description: partial 16S ribosomal RNA
Rfam family: Bacterial small subunit ribosomal RNA
Source: RNAcentral